RNAcentral lists this ribosomal RNA (496 nucleotides) under uncultured bacterium. RNAcentral's name for it is "partial 16S ribosomal RNA". It matches the Rfam family "Bacterial small subunit ribosomal RNA", at positions 29 to 507 of the family's 1533-position model. The record is from RNAcentral.
AUGAACGCUGGCGGCGUGCCUAAUACCUGCAAGUCGAGCGAACAGACGAGGAGCUUGCUCCUCUGACGUUAGCGGCGGACGGGUGAGUAACACGUGGAUAACCUACCUAUAAGACUGGGAUAACUUCGGGAAACCGGAGCUAAUACCGGAUAAUAUAUUGAACCGCAUGGUUCAAUAGUGAAAGACGGUUUUGCUGUCACUUAUAGAUGGAUCCGCGCCGCAUUAGCUAGUUGGUAAGGUAACGGCUUACCAAGGCAACGAUGCGUAGCCGACCUGAGAGGGUGAUCGGCCACACUGGAACUGGGACACGGUCCAGACUCCUACGGGAGGCAGCAGUAGGGAAUCUUCCGCAAUGGGCGAAAGCUUGACGGAGCAACGCCGCGUGAGUGAUGAAGGUCUUCGGAUCGUAAAACUCUGUUAUUAGGGAAGAACAAAUGUGUAAGUAACUAUGCACGUCUUGACGGUACCUAAUCAGAAAGCCACGGCUAACUACGUG